This 1522-nucleotide long non-coding RNA is filed under the name Canis lupus familiaris (dog). Its description in RNAcentral is "lncRNA (ENSCAFG00000052579.1)". Lineage: Eukaryota; Metazoa; Chordata; Mammalia; Carnivora; Canidae. The record is from RNAcentral.
CUGACAUUCCAGGAGGGGACCUGCGGGACACUCCCAGGCCACGAGCAGGCCUCCCUGGCUGUCCUCCCGCUGGAACGGCCUCAGCGGCCCGUCGGGGGGGACCGGCGAUCGCGGCCAAGCCUAGGAAGCUCGCCUGCAAGGGGGGGACAGGCGGCCGGGCCUGUAAAGUUUAGGACACAAGUGGGGACGGCGCGCGCUCCUGGCUUACAGGAUCCCGCAGGAACUCUGGAUCGCCCUGCAAUAAAAACACGGAGCAUCCUGUUCGCGGCUGAGAAGGGCUUUGAGGGUCUCCCGGGGGGCGGCUUUGAAAGGCUGCCCAAACCGCGGCCCUGAUCGCCGAGGCGCGUGGCUGACGAGCGCGCAAAGCCUGCCCGGGCCCCGCGCUCUCCCGGACCCCACGCGGGGUGAAGAGUGUCCCUGCGGAGAGCCGCGCUGCUUCCCCCCUCCCCGGCCUGCCCCCUGCGGGCAGGUGUCCCACCAUCCGGGAGGACGUCCGUUUGCACAGCAGCCUCCAGCGGCUGGACACCCAGGGCACCGCGGGAUGCUCUUCGCCCCGGAAUUUUGGCAAAAGGGUGUGCACGUUGCCGUGAUAAUCAUGUUUUACAUUCAUCACGCUGCUUUCAUCCAGAUGGGUUUAAGCAUUCUACAAGCUUUAUUAAGUAAGUAGAACAAGUUAUAACAGUUGAACUUGUCUAUCAUGGAGCGUGGUUUCUGGGUGAAUCAUGGUUUUUUGUUUUUUUGUUUUGGCCACACACAGCAAUGGGGUAUCGAUCAGGGACGGCGUGGAGCCGAGGGUUUCAGCCGAGCCUCCGGGAGGCCAGGCUUUGGUCUGAACUGGAAGAGCACAAAGGCCAGCGGUGUCCUGUGGUGCGCGGAGCGCGCGAGGGCCAAGAAUCCAGCGGAACAUCUCACACGUGGUGGGCAUUCAAUACCAUGUACCGAAGAAGGAAUGACUGAGGGACUUGGUACGUGGAUGAGUGUGUACAAGAGGGAGCCCAGCAUGGGAGUGGCUCAGAGGGUGGAUUCUGGAGUCUGACUCUUGGGGCAGCUUCUUCCUCCACGGUGUGCACACAAAUCACCUAGCAUCGUAUCAAAAGGCAGAUUCUGAUUCAGUGGGUCUUAGUGGGCCCCAAGACUCUGUGUUUCCAACAAAUUUCCACAAAACAUGGCUUCUGUUGGUUGAAGACUGGGCUUGGAGAGGUAAGGUGCCCAAGAUCAAAUCUUACCACGUCUACUGCCUGCUACAUAGACAACAUCAUGUGGAUUGUUUGACCUCUUUUGACCUUGGUUUCAUUAUCAAGUGAGAAUAACCAUGAUAGCACCUCCCUCAGAAGACCAUGGCAAGGAUUAAGAAUGAUGGUGAACGUUCCUGCACAUAGUAAGAGUUGAUCCAUAAUCAUAUGUUGAUACCUUCUCAUGGCUAUAAUAAACAAUAGUUAUUCCUGUUAUUGCUUACUUUUCUUUUUUUUUUUUAAUUUUAUUUAUUUAUUCAUGAGAGAUACAGAGAGAGGCAGAGACAUAG